Molecule: ribosomal RNA, 492 nt
Filed under: uncultured bacterium
Lineage: Bacteria
Description: partial 16S ribosomal RNA
Rfam family: Bacterial small subunit ribosomal RNA
Source: RNAcentral
AUUGAACGCUGGCGGCAUGCUUUACACAUGCAAGUCGAACGGUAACAGGCCUUCGGGUGCUGACGAGUGGCGAACGGGUGAGUAAUGCAUCGGAACGUACCCAGAGGUGGGGGAUAACGCAGCGAAAGCUGUGCUAAUACCGCAUGUGAUCUGAGGAUGAAAGCGGGGGACCGAGCAGCAAUGUUUGGCCUCGCGCCUUUGGAGCGGCCGAUGUCGGAUUAGCUAGUUGGUGGGGUAAAGGCCUACCAAGGCAACGAUCCGUAGCUGGUCUGAGAGGACGACCAGCCACACUGGGACUGAGACACGGCCCAGACUCCUACGGGAGGCAGCAGUGGGGAAUUUUGGACAAUGGGCGCAAGCCUGAUCCAGCAAUGCCGCGUGCGGGAAGAAGGCCUUCGGGUUGUAAACCGCUUUUGGCAGGAACGAAACGGUGUCCGCUAAUACCGGGCGCUAAUGACGGUACCUGCAGAAUAAGCACCGGCUAACUACGUG